This 21-nucleotide transfer RNA is filed under the name Cylindraspis peltastes (Rodrigues domed tortoise). Its description in RNAcentral is "partial tRNA-Glu". Lineage: Eukaryota; Metazoa; Chordata; Testudines; Testudinidae. The record is from RNAcentral.
UGUUCAACUACAAAAACGCUA